GGGCCCGUAGCUCAGCUGGAUAGAGCGGCUGACUACGGAUCAGCAGGUCGGGGGUUCGAGUCCUCCCGGGCCCGCCA
Molecule: transfer RNA, 77 nt
Filed under: Thermus thermophilus
Lineage: Bacteria; Thermotogati; Deinococcota; Deinococci; Thermales; Thermaceae
Also listed under: 3 other names
Description: tRNA-Arg(acg)
Rfam family: tRNA
About the family: Transfer RNA (tRNA) molecules are approximately 80 nucleotides in length. Their secondary structure includes four short double-helical elements and three loops (D, anti-codon, and T loops).
Source: RNAcentral